CACAAAAAUGCACAUAUUGUGAGCUCGAUGAGUAGGGCGGGACACGUGGUAUCCUGUCUGAAUAUGGGGGGACCAUCCUCCAAGGCUAAAUACUCCUGACUGACCGAUAGUGAACCAGUACCGUGAGGGAAAGGCGAAAAGAACCCCGGCGAGGGGAGUGAAAAAGAACCUGAAACCGUGUACGUACAAGCAGUGGGAGCCUCUUAAUGGGGUGACUGCGUACCUUUUGUAUAAUGGGUCAGCGACUUAUAUUCUGUAGCAAGGUUAACCGAAUAGGGGAGCCGAAGGGAAACCGAGUCUUAACUGGGCGUUAAGUUGCAGGGUAUAGACCCGAAACCCGGUGAUCUAGCCAUGAGCAGGUUGAAGGUUGGGUAACACUAACUGGAGGACCGAACCGACUAAUGUUGAAAAAUUAGCGGAUGACUUGUGGCUGGGGGUGAAAGGCCAAUCAAACCGGGAGAUAGCUGGUUCUCCCCGAAAGCUAUUUAGGUAGCGCCUCGUGAAUUCAUCUCCGGGGGUAGAGCACUGUUUCGGCAAGGGGGUCAUCCCGACUUACCAACCCGAUGCAAACUGCGAAUACCGGAGAAUGUUAUCACGGGAGACACACGGCGGGUGCUAACGUCCGUCGUGAAGAGGGAAACAACCCAGACCGCCAGCUAAGGUCCCAAAGUCAUGGUUAAGUGGGAAACGAUGUGGGAAGGCCCAGACAGCCAGGAUGUUGGCUUAGAAGCAGCCAUCAUUUAAAGAAAGCGUAAUAGCUCACUGGUCGAGUCGGCCUGCGCGGAAGAUGUAACGGGGCUAAACCAUGCACCGAAGCUGCGGCAGCGACACUAUGUGUUGUUGGGUAGGGGAGCGUUCUGUAAGCCUGUGAAGGUGGCCUGUGAGGGUUGCUGGAGGUAUCAGAAGUGCGAAUGCUGACAUAAGUAAC
This 928-nucleotide ribosomal RNA is filed under the name Escherichia coli. RNAcentral describes it as "partial 23S ribosomal RNA". It matches the Rfam family "Bacterial large subunit ribosomal RNA", at positions 378 to 1310 of the family's 2925-position model. Lineage: Bacteria; Pseudomonadati; Pseudomonadota; Gammaproteobacteria; Enterobacterales; Enterobacteriaceae. The record is from RNAcentral.